Molecule: ribosomal RNA, 407 nt
Filed under: uncultured prokaryote
Also listed under: 1 other name
Description: bacterial SSU rRNA
Rfam family: Bacterial small subunit ribosomal RNA
Source: RNAcentral
UGGGGAAUAUUGCGCAAUGGGGGGAACCCUGACGCAGCAACGCCGCGUGAAGGAAGAAGGUCUUCGGAUUGUAAACUUUUGUCUUAUGGGAAGAAACAAAUGACGGUACCAUAGGAGGAAGCCACGGCUAACUACGUGCCAGCAGCCGCGGUAAUACGUAGGUGGCAAGCGUUGUCCGGAUUUACUGGGUGUAAAGGGCGUGUAGGCGGGGUCUUAAGUCAGAUGUGAAAUACCCGGGCUUAACUUGGGAAUUGCAUUUGAAACUGAGGCUCUUGAGUGAUGGAGAGGAAAGCGGAAUUCCUAGUGUAGCGGUGAAAUGCGUAGAUAUUAGGAGGAACACCAGUGGCGAAGGCGGCUUUCUGGACAUUAACUGACGCUGAGGCGCGAAAGCGUGGGGAGCAAACAGG